Molecule: non-coding RNA, 114 nt
Organism: Acanthosepion pharaonis
Lineage: Eukaryota; Metazoa; Mollusca; Cephalopoda; Sepiida; Sepiidae
Source: the annotation of a GenBank genome assembly
UUAUGGCCAUAUCAUGUUGAAACACCAGUUCCCAUACAAUCACUAAGGUCAAGCAAUGUUGAGCAAGGUCAGUACCUUGAGGGGUGACCACUUGGGAAUACAAUGUGCUGUAAG